CCGGCAGCAGGAGGAGGAGGAGGAGGAGGAGGAGGAAGAAGAGGAGGAGGAGACGGCCUUCUUCCCUCCCGCCGCCCAGCGCGGAGGCAGGUUGAGCCGCGGCGAGGCUGGGAGGCCGGCGGCGGAGGCUCGGCGGAGUCCCGGGAGCCGAGGAGGGCUCGGAGCAGCGAGCGGCUCGGCGGCGGGGCAGGUGGCGGCAGCCGAGCGGCGCUCCAGGACUGAGAGCGGAGGCCGGGAGGAGGAGCCCGGCCUCGGCGCCUCCCCGAGCCGGCCCCCCCGGGGAGGAGAGGGGUGGGUUCGGCUCCCAGACCCCCCAGGCCGGGCGGGGAGGUGCUGCCGAGCUGUCAUCCACAAGGACCAGAAUGAAGAGCAGGGAAAGGCUGAGCCAGAGAUAACAGAAGGAAAGCACAAGGUCUUUGUGGCUGAAAAUUCAGGCAGUCACCAGGAGGAGCCCUGAUGUUAGUGGGAGUACUUGAGCCUUGGGACUCAGGGAACAUGAGGUUCUCUGCAAUACAGGAGACUGUCUCCAGGUGCCCCCAACUACUGCUGCCAACAAGCUUGUCAUGCAGAGUUAAAGGAGAACAGGGACAUUUCAAUUUCAGGAGCAUCCAUGGGGUACAUGAAAAGCACUGAGCAAUCAGGAGAUGGAAGAUGGAUGUAGGAAGAGCAGGUUAGAUUAAAAUUUGUACUUUUUAUUGAUAGAAUCCAUAUAUACAAGUAUGGAAAGAUUCAAUUUCAGAUGUUAAGGAUGUUACUUCAUUUAUCCCAGACAUAACAGAGUUGCCAAUGAGUACAAGGAAGUAUAUGGCUCUUGGAUUUUCCAGGGCCUUUCCAUUUAGAAUCAGGUAAGAAAAGAUUCACAUUAGAUACUGGUUCCAGGGUAUGAGGGGAAUGUGUGUAUUUAGGGACUUGCACAACGAAUAUACCUAGGGUAUAUGUUGUCUCACUAUUGGUACUGCAAGCCUUAAGAUGGAGACAUCACAUAGCUUCCAGUCUGCUUUUCAAUGAGGCUUUAAAACAGGCCUUUGAUUAUGCAUGUAUUGAAGGCUUGUUGCUGGAUAUGGCGGGAACUACAGGAGAUUCAGGGAUGCAAAGCAAUGGCAUAGAUGUUUUUUGGACCAGACUACAGAGAGUUAAACAACAGUUAUACAUUUAAAGUGAUUUCAGACUGGAAUGUUGCAAAUCCUGAUGUUUCUCUUGCACAUAGUGACAGAUAUGAGAUGCACAGACUGAUACAAAGCCAUGCAGCCUGGCUAGGGUUUGGCAGUUUCAGGACUGAGUUCAUACAUGAUUUUGCAUUUCUGUUCAAAUACGUUAUCCUAAAGCUUUAGGCAUUCCUUAAAAGAGCUACAGUGAAUGGAACCAUGUAUUUCCAUAGGACCCAUGGCCUUAUGGGAGAUCCAGCUGUGUAGCCUGUCUAUCAUGGAGGAGAUUCUGUUAUGAGUGGGGAGAAAAGGCAGAAAGCUCAUUUGGGAAAAUGUCAUAAAGAUAGGCUGUUCCUUAGGCUUGCAUAAUUUUCUGUCAUUGACUGGUGAGAAGAGGGCAUUCAAGCAAAGAUGUCUUGGAGUGUUGUUUGAUCAAAUGUAGUCAUCUUGGCCCAGGAAAUUCAUUCAGAUGUUAAUAAAAAUGGAAAACUGUGGUAUGACA
This is a long non-coding RNA of Anser brachyrhynchus (Pink-footed goose), 1647 nucleotides long. The record is from Ensembl. NCBI's taxonomy places the organism in Eukaryota, Metazoa, Chordata, Aves, Anseriformes, Anatidae.